This 373-nucleotide ribosomal RNA is filed under the name uncultured bacterium. RNAcentral describes it as "bacterial SSU rRNA". It matches the Rfam family "Bacterial small subunit ribosomal RNA", at positions 527 to 898 of the family's 1533-position model. The record is from RNAcentral.
GUAGGGUGCGAGCGUUAAUCGGAAUUACUGGGCGUAAAGCGUGCGCAGGCGGUUUUGUAAGACAGGUGUGAAAUCCCCGGGCUUAACCUGGGAACUGCGCUUGUGACUGCAAGACUCGAGUACGGCAGAGGGGGGUGGAAUUCCACGUGUAGCAGUGAAAUGCGUAGAGAUGUGGAGGAACACCGAUGGCGAAGGCAGCCCCCUGGGUCGAUACUGACGCUCAUGCACGAAAGCGUGGGGAGCAAACAGGAUUAGAUACCCUGGUAGUCCACGCCCUAAACGAUGCGAACUAGGUGUUGGGGAAGGAGACUUCUUUAGUACCGUAGCUAACGCGUGAAGUUCGCCGCCUGGGGAGUACGGUCGCAAGAUUAAA